CGAUAUCGACGAGUUUAUCCUGGCUCAGAACGACGCUGGCGGCAGGCCUAACACAUGCAAGUCGAGCGCGCCCUUCGGGGUGAGCGGCGACGGGUGAGUAACGCGUGGGAACGUGCCCUUUUCUACGGAAUAGUCUCGGGAAACUGGGGGUAAUACCGUAUGUGCCCUCUGGGGGAAAGAUUUAUCGGCAAAGGAUCGGCCCCGCGUUGGAUUAGGUAGUUGGUGGGGUAAUGGCCUACCAAAGCCGACGAUCCAUAGCUGGUUUGAGAGGAUGAUCAGCCACACUGGGACUGAGACACGGCCCAGACUCCUACGGGAGGCAGCAGUGGGGAAUCUUAGGCAAUGGGGGCAACCCUGAUCUAGCCAUGCCGCGUGAGUGAUGAAGGCCCUAGGGUUGUAAAGCUCUUUCAGCUGGGAAGAUAAUGACGGUACCAGCAGAAGAAGCCCCGGCUAACUCCGUG
RNAcentral lists this ribosomal RNA (461 nucleotides) under uncultured bacterium. RNAcentral describes it as "bacterial SSU rRNA". It matches the Rfam family "Bacterial small subunit ribosomal RNA", at positions 1 to 507 of the family's 1533-position model. The record is from RNAcentral.